This 1238-nucleotide long non-coding RNA is filed under the name Linum usitatissimum (flax). Its description in RNAcentral is "long non-coding RNA (LUSI_LNC002257)". Lineage: Eukaryota; Viridiplantae; Streptophyta; Magnoliopsida; Malpighiales; Linaceae. The record is from RNAcentral.
UACAUUAAAGAUCUCCAAACACAAGUCAAAGUAUGUGUGGAUAUAAUGCUCAUCUUAUAAGUAUAAAAGCCAAAAUCUUUGGACCCAUCUCCAUUCAUGGGGUUAUCUUAUUUCACUGCAGGCAAUGUCUGAAAGUCGAGCCAAAUGUACGUGUACAAUGAGUAUGCAUCAAAGCUAGCUCAAAGAGUGAGACUUUACCUCACCCUUAUAGCCUCCUUUUACUUCUCCGACAUGGGAUAACCGAACAGGAACUUCUUGGUUCGGCCAUAUAUAUGUAUACAAGUAAUAAGGGCUCUGUUAAAAUCUAGUUGCAGAUUUAAGUUCAUAUAUAUAGCUAUCAGCAGCCCCUCUAGAAGUUGGCAUAAGAGAUAGAAGAAACCCAGAAGAAAAUGUACAGUAAGUAGUUUGGGAUGUUGCCUUUGGUAGAAUGUUUUUGUGACAUAGUCAUUAUUUUGUUCUCCCCCCAUAUACUUAUUGGAGCAUGGAACCCCAAAUUUUAUGUACGCAAAUUUUUUAAGAACAUUGUUUGUUUUCAAGCAUUGAACUAUCUUCCUGUUUGCUCAUUGCCAAUAAUACUAGGGAUGUGGUGUUUGCCACUACUCUCAUUUCUGUCGAUGUCUCGUUGUUUCGAGUUACAGUUUGGACCGGUGGCGCUCAUUAUCACUGAAUGAUUGUUGUUAACCCGCCGACUAUACGUAAGUUCAUGGAUAUCAAACUAGAUCCAUUCCUCCUUUCGACGAUCCUUUCUUGGAGCUAAGCCUUUGCUAGCGACGGGUUCUCGCCAAAGAACGAGAUGGAUGAUGCUAGACUACACAAUAAUCUACUUCUAUUCGAUCGAGUUUGCCUCCAAGCUUGAUUAAAGAAUGCAUGAACGAGAGGAGAAGAAUCUGAUGAUUCCUCUGCUCAAGUCUUGGGUAUACUUCGUCGCCAAGAAGAGUUGUUGGCGGGGUUUUGAAGUACAGUCCAAAACUAAGCAACUUAACAUUUCGUAUCGAUGAUAGAGUUGAGAGUUCGAUAUAGCGGUUGUUAGACAAUUCACUAUGAUCUCCCAUCUCCUAAAUUUAGCAAUGUUUAGCUUUACAUGUGUAUUAGUCCUAUUUGAAAGGAUGAUAAGACUCGAUUAAUUUUGGAAAAGAAUGGUCUACAUCUCUUGUGAAGAGAGAAAAGAACACUUUUUGUUAACAAGUGAUUUUGUGGGCAUGGGAAAAAGUUGUGCACUUUGAAGUGUGCUUUUGUCG